RNAcentral lists this transfer RNA (69 nucleotides) under Athene brama. RNAcentral describes it as "tRNA-Asp". The record is from RNAcentral. Lineage: Eukaryota; Metazoa; Chordata; Aves; Strigiformes; Strigidae.
AGGAUAUUAGUAAACCAAUUACACAGCCUUGUCAAGACUGAAUCGCAGAUGAAAACCCUGCAUAUCCUA